Molecule: ribosomal RNA, 467 nt
Filed under: uncultured bacterium
Lineage: Bacteria
Description: partial 16S ribosomal RNA
Rfam family: Bacterial small subunit ribosomal RNA
Source: RNAcentral
GACGAACGCUGGCGGCGUGCUUAACACAUGCAAGUCGAACGAUGACGACCGAGCUUGCUCGGUCUGAUUAGUGGCGAACGGGUGAGUAACACGUGAGCAACCUGCCCUUCACUCUGGGAUAACCUCGGGAAAUCGGGGCUAAUACCGGAUAUGAGCUCCUGUCGCAUGGCGGGGGUUGGAAAGUUUUUCGGUGAAGGAUGGGCUCGCGGCCUAUCAGUUUGUUGGGGGGGUAGUGGCUCACCAAGGCGAUGACGGGUAGCCGGCCUGAGAGGGCGACCGGCCACACUGGGACUGAGACACGGCCCAGACUCCUACGGGAGGCAGCAGUGGGGAAUAUUGCACAAUGGGCGAAAGCCUGAUGCAGCGACGCCGCGUGAGGGAUGACGGCCUUCGGGUUGUAAACCUCUUUCAGCAGGGAAGAAGCGAAAGUGACGGUACCUGCAGAAGAAGCGCCGGCUAACUACGUG